CAAUAGCGUAUAUUAAAGUUGUUGCGGUUAAAAAGCUCGUAGUUGGAUUUCUGCCGAGGACGACCGGUCCGCCCAUUGGGUGAGUAUCUGGUUCGGCCUGGGCAUCUUCUUGGAGAACGUAGCUGCACUUGACUGUGUGGUGCGGUAUCCAGGACUUUUACUUUGAGGAAAUUAGAGUGUUUCAAGCAGGCUUACGCCUUGAAUACAUUAGCAUGGAAUAAUAAUAUAGGACCUCGGUUCUAUUUUGUUGGUUUCUAGAGCUGAGGUAAUGAUUAAUAGGGAUAGUUGGGGGCAUUCGUAUUUAACUGUCAGAGGUGAAAUUCUUGGAUUUGUUAAAGACGGACUACUGCGAANGNAUUUGGNAAGGAUGUUUNCAUUG
This 379-nucleotide ribosomal RNA is filed under the name uncultured eukaryote. Its description in RNAcentral is "partial 18S ribosomal RNA". It matches the Rfam family "Eukaryotic small subunit ribosomal RNA", at positions 592 to 975 of the family's 1831-position model. The record is from RNAcentral.